ACCCCGUUUAUAGAGGCAUCAAUCCUCUCCUUUUUA
RNAcentral lists this transfer RNA (36 nucleotides) under Choroedocus violaceipes. RNAcentral's name for it is "partial tRNA-Met". Lineage: Eukaryota; Metazoa; Arthropoda; Insecta; Orthoptera; Acrididae. The record is from RNAcentral.